Molecule: ribosomal RNA, 485 nt
Filed under: uncultured bacterium
Lineage: Bacteria
Description: partial 16S ribosomal RNA
Rfam family: Bacterial small subunit ribosomal RNA
Source: RNAcentral
GACGAACGCUGGCGGCGUGCUUAACACAUGCAAGUCGAACGGUGAAAGCGGAGCUUGCUCCGCUGGAUCAGUGGCGAACGGGUGAGUAACACGUGGGAAACCUGCCCCUCACUUCGGGAUAACUCCGGGAAACCGGGGCUAAUACCGGAUAUGACCUCCUUGGGCAUCCUUGGAGGUGGAAAGUUUUUCGGUGAGGGAUGGGCCCGCGGCCUAUCAGCUUGUUGGUGAGGUAGUGGCUCACCAAGGCGACGACGGGUAGCCGGCCUGAGAGGGCGACCGGCCACACUGGGACUGAGACACGGCCCAGACUCCUACGGGAGGCAGCAGUGGGGAAUAUUGCGCAAUGGGCGAAAGCCUGACGCAGCAACGCCGCGUGCGGGAUGACGGCCUUCGGGUUGUAAACCGCUUUCAGCAGGGAAGGAGCCGCAAGGUGACGGUACCUGCAGAAGAAGCACCGGCUAACUACGUGCCAGCAGCCGCCGUAA